AGAGUUUGAUCAUGGCUCAGGAUGAACGCUAGCGGCAGGCCUAACACAUGCAAGUCGAGGGGUAACAGGGAGCUUGCUCCGCUGACGACCGGCGCACGGGUGCGCACCGCGUAUGGAACCUACCUUGUACAGGGGAAUAGCCCAGGGAAACUUGGAUUAAUGCCCCGUGGUACCACGAUCUGGCAUCAGGAUGUGGUUAAAGCCUUCGGGCGGUACAAGAUGGCCAUGCGUCCCAUUAGUUAGUUGGUAAGGUAACGGCUUACCAAGACUACGAUGGGUAGGGGCCCUGAGAGGGGGAUCCCCCACACUGGUACUGAGACACGGACCAGACUCCUACGGGAGGCAGCAGUGAGGAAUAUUGGACAAUGGAGGAGACUCUGAUCCAGCCAUGCCGCGUGCAGGAAGAAUGCCCUAUGGGUAGUAAACUGCUUUUAUACGGGAAGAAAAAGAGCUACGUGUAGCUUACUGGCGGUACCGUAAGAAUAAGGACCGGCUAACUCCGUGCCAGCAGCCGCGGUAAUACGGAGGGUCCGAGCGUUAUCCGGAAUUAUUGGGUUUAAAGGGUCCGUAGGCGGGCUAUUAAGUCAGUGGUGAAAGUCUGCAGCUCAACUGUAGAAUUGCCUUUGAUACUGAUAGUCUUGAGUUAUAGUGAAGUUGCCGGAAUAUGUAGUGUAGCGGUGAAAUGCAUAGAUAUUACAUAGAACACCGAUUGCGAAGGCAGGUGACUAACUAUAUACUGACGCUGAUGGACGAAAGCGUGGGGAGCGAACAGGAUUAGAUACCCUGGUAGUCCACGCCGUAAACGAUGGAUACUAGCUGUCCGGGACCUUGAGUUCUGGGCGGCCAAGCGAAAGUGAUAAGUAUCCCACCUGGGGAGUACGUUCGCAAGAAUGAAACUCAAAGGAAUUGACGGGGGCCCGCACAAGCGGUGGAGCAUGUGGUUUAAUUCGAUGAUACGCGAGGAACCUUACCAGGGCUUAAAUGCAUAUUGACAGGGGUAGAGAUACCUUUUCCUUCGGGCAAUUUGCAAGGUGCUGCAUGGUUGUCGUCAGCUCGUGCCGUGAGGUGUCAGGUUAAGUCCUAUAACGAGCGCAACCCCUACCGUUAGUUGCCAGCAUGUCAUGAUGGGGACUCUAACGGGACUGCCGGUGCAAACCGUGAGGAAGGUGGGGAUGACGUCAAAUCAUCACGGCCCUUACGUCCUGGGCCACACACGCGCUACAAUGGCAGGUACAGAGAGCAGCCACGUCGCAAGGCGGAGCGAAUCUAUAAAACCUGUCACAGUUCGGAUCGGGGUCUGCAACUCGACCCCGUGAAGCUGGAAUCGCUAGUAAUCGGAUAUCAGCCAUGAUCCGGUGAAUACGUUCCCGGGCCUUGUACACACCGCCCGUCAAGCCAUGGAAGCCGGGAGUGCCUGAAGUCCGUCACCGUAAGGAGCGGCCUAGGGCAAGAUCGGUAACUAGGGCUAAGUCGUAACAAGGUA
Molecule: ribosomal RNA, 1483 nt
Filed under: metagenome
Description: bacterial SSU rRNA
Rfam family: Bacterial small subunit ribosomal RNA
Source: RNAcentral